UGCUUGACAUCCAGGAAUACGGCC
This 24-nucleotide non-coding RNA is filed under the name Drosophila melanogaster (fruit fly). Lineage: Eukaryota; Metazoa; Arthropoda; Insecta; Diptera; Drosophilidae. The record is from RNAcentral.